Molecule: ribosomal RNA, 237 nt
Filed under: uncultured bacterium
Lineage: Bacteria
Description: partial 16S ribosomal RNA
Rfam family: Bacterial small subunit ribosomal RNA
Source: RNAcentral
UGAGCAAUCUGCCCUUCUCUUCGGAAUAAGCGUUGGAAACGACGUCUAAUGCCGAAUACGACCUCCUUUCGCAUGAUCGGAGGUGGAAAGCUCCGGCGGGGAAGGAUGAGCUCGCGGCCUAUCAGCUAGUUGGUGUGGGUAAUGGCCCACCAAGGCGACGACGGGUAGCCGGCCUGAGAGGGCGACCGGCCACACUGGGACUGAGACACGGCCCAGACUCCGUACGGGAGCAGCAGG